Molecule: long non-coding RNA, 628 nt
Organism: Ricinus communis (castor bean)
Lineage: Eukaryota; Viridiplantae; Streptophyta; Magnoliopsida; Malpighiales; Euphorbiaceae
Exons: 2
Source: RefSeq, a predicted model, not a curated record
CAAACAGAAAAUUCUAACAACCCUCCUUUCCUCUCUGUGCUGCAUGUAUCCUAAAAUAUUUAAGUGAAAAAAAAUGGACCGAAAGAACCAACCAAUGCUCUUGAACGUCGAGCUUCCUGUUUAGGUAUCAGGAGACAGGUCAAAAGGGGCCAUGAAUUACUCUCUUCCCCUCAAUAUAUAAUUAAAAUGAUAUCUUUAUUUUCUUUUUCUCUCUUCCUUUCUUUAUAUAUGAUUUAUCCAUUCUUAGCUGCUACAGCAAGUUUUUAGCAGCUCAUACAAUGAGAUUUUUUUCGAUUCUAUCUGUCAUCUCUUUGCUUUUCUUCUUGUGUUUGGUGUUUAGUAUUCAAGGGAUGGCUGGUACUACUGACUUAGUGGUGGCCAUUGGAAAGUCUGUCAGUAAGGGAAGAGGUGAGUGCGAGAAGGAGAGAUCAGCAGAAUUCAUAAAAGGAAAUAAUGACAUUGGAUCAGAAGAUAAUCUCUAUGAGAGUGAAGAUUACAUUUAUACACAAGCUCCCACCCCUAAUUAGCUAUAUUAUUUGUCACUAAAUCUACUUAAAUAAUCAUGUAUUGUAAUGAGAAAUUGUUACUUUAAUGCAAAAUGGAGGGUUUUUUUUCUUCUUUCUUUUUA